RNAcentral lists this small nucleolar RNA (107 nucleotides) under Gossypium hirsutum (cotton). Its description in RNAcentral is "Plant small nucleolar RNA R71". It matches the Rfam family "Plant small nucleolar RNA R71". From Rfam's summary of the family: R71 is a member of the C/D box family of snoRNAs containing the C (UGAUGA) and D (CUGA) box motifs. Multiple nearly identical copies of this snoRNA have been identified in Arabidopsis, and it is thought to function as a 2'-O-ribose methylation guide for 18S ribosomal RNA. The record is from Rfam by way of RNAcentral. Lineage: Eukaryota; Viridiplantae; Streptophyta; Magnoliopsida; Malvales; Malvaceae.
AACCCAUGGUGAGGGCAUCUUCUCAGUAAGUCUUUGUAUCUCUCCCAUGCAUCGUAAAGAGUUUAUAAGUCUAUCUACACAAAUGAACAGAUAUCAUUACGAAAUUU